GACGAGCCACACAAACGUUAUUCGGAAUUACUGGGCUUAAAGGGUGCGUAGGCGGCCUUAUAAGUCAGUGCUGAAAUAUCCCGGCUUAACCGGGAGGGUGGCAUUGAUACUGUAGGGCUUGAGUAAAGUUGAGGUUGGCGGAAUUGACGGUGUAGCGGUGAAAUGCUUAGAUAUCGUCAAGAACACCGAUAGUGAAGACAGCUAACUAAGCUUUAACUGACGCUGAGGCACGAAAGUGUGGGGAUCAAACAGG
Molecule: ribosomal RNA, 253 nt
Filed under: uncultured bacterium
Lineage: Bacteria
Description: partial 16S ribosomal RNA
Rfam family: Bacterial small subunit ribosomal RNA
Source: RNAcentral